RNAcentral lists this transfer RNA (76 nucleotides) under Salmonella enterica subsp. enterica serovar Anatum. RNAcentral's name for it is "tRNA-Lys". It matches the Rfam family "tRNA". From Rfam's summary of the family: Transfer RNA (tRNA) molecules are approximately 80 nucleotides in length. Lineage: Bacteria; Pseudomonadati; Pseudomonadota; Gammaproteobacteria; Enterobacterales; Enterobacteriaceae. The record is from RNAcentral.
GGGUCGUUAGCUCAGUUGGUAGAGCAGUUGACUUUUGAUCAAUUGGUCGCAGGUUCGAAUCCUGCACGACCCACCA